NNNNNNNNNNNNGAUCUGUGGGAUGCUGCUCCAGCCCCAGCAGUGCCCCCUCAGGGCUGGGCUCUGGGUGGGAGCAGGAGAGGACCUGGACACCAACAAAGGCAGGAAGUGCCUGCACCCCCUGGGGCUGGGGAUGUGCUCAGAGCUCUUUGCUUUGUGCAUUGAAUUCAUUUCCCACAGCACAGACAAAAGGGUUUUUAUCUGGGGGCCACUCUGUGAGUCCAGGGCAAACCUGGGGUGGGAUCACACUCCUGCUCCGUGCAUUCCCUGCAGAUCACCAUUGUUGUCACCAGACUGGGCCCUUUGGCUCCUGCUCCCCCAGCUGACCCUUCCUGCUGCCACUGUGCCCUCACAUGGAAUGCCUUGGGUGGGAAUGACCUCAAAGCCCAUCUUGUUCCCACCAGCCCAGGUUGCUCCAAGCCCCUUGCACACCCCCAGGGAUGGAGCAGCCCCAGCAGAGAACAGACGUGGAUUCACAGCGGUGCCAGUGUGGCAGAGAAGGCUCCUGGAGGGCUUUUCCUGCAAGGGGAGCCACACGUGGCCCCAGCACUGUCCAGACACGUCCCCAGCUCUGCUCUUGUGGCUGCUGGGUUUGUCCCGGGGCUGGAGGUGCUGGGAGAGGGCAGCACAUCCCUCUGGAAAACACACAGCGAGCAAGGCUGACAUUUUCCCACCCUCUGAGCACACCCAGGAUAUUUUCUCCCCAAAGCCAGGAGCUGCUGUGUGGGAGGGCUGUGGAGAACACAGGGAAAGCCACCAAGGCAGGGUGAGCCCUUGGAGCAGCAGGUGGGAAUGUCCCAGCACUGGAGGGAAUUGCAAAACCCAUAAAACUGUUGUUCCUUUGAAGAUUUGUGUGCAAGAUGAAAGGCCCUAAAUCUGUUUGGGUUGGGAAGAAGCCACUGAAGGGUGGGGUGUGACAAGGGUGCACAGAUAAAUCAAAACAAGGAGCUGACAGGGAAUUGUGGCUGGAACUAAUAAAGGGAUCCUGGGAGGGAAAUAAAUUCA
This 1005-nucleotide long non-coding RNA is filed under the name Junco hyemalis (dark-eyed junco). RNAcentral's name for it is "lncRNA (ENSJHYG00000004662.1)". Lineage: Eukaryota; Metazoa; Chordata; Aves; Passeriformes; Passerellidae. The record is from RNAcentral.